AGAGAGAGAGAUGAGCCUUAUAAGCAACAGUAACUCCAGUAGUAAUCACUGCUUAAAAUUUCACACAUACUGAUACAUAAUAGUUUGCUUAAAAUUUUACGCAGAUAUAUCACCCAUUCUCCCAAAUCGAGGUACAAACUUGCUCAGCUGUGAAUUCUGCAGUGAAUAAACAACGGAUAAGUAACUAACAGAGUUUGAUGUUAUGGGAAAUAGGGUUGUAGAUUUUACCAUGUCAUUGCGGAAAAGCUAAGGAAAUGGAAGUGANNNNNNNNNNNNNNNNNNNNNNNNNNNNNNNNNNNNNNNNNNNNNNNNNNNNNNNNNNNNNNNNNNNNNNNNNNNNNNNNNNNNNNNNNNNNNNNNNNNNUAUUUCACUUCAUCCAAUCCAAUAAAAGAAACUAAAUGCUUUAAAAAAAUAAAAAACAAAAAAGAGAAUUGCAAGCAAAAAAUAGAAAAAACAAAAAAAUGUUAUAUAAAGUUUUUUUUAUUAAAUUGAAAUAAUUAAAAUUAAAAAUUAUUUAAUUAAAAUUGAACAAAUUACGCUCUAUCAUAAAACGAAAAGAAUUUUAAAUCGAAUACAAAUUAUUUAUAAUAUGAAGAAAAAAGGAAAUUUUAAAACAAUUCUAAAAAAAUAUAAAGUUUUUUAAUAAAAUUGAAAUAAUUAAAAUUAAAAUUAAAUAUUAUUUAAUUAAAAUUGAACAAAUUAUGUUCUACCAAAAAAAACGAAAAGAAUUUAAAAAAAAUUAAAUUGAACUAAAAAUUAUUUAUAAUAUGAAGAAAAAAGAAAUUUUAAAACAAUUUUUUCAAGAAAUAUAUAAUAAAAAAAUUAAACAAAAGAAAGUUACAGAAAUUAAAUAAAAUAUAUAUAAACGUUAUUUAAUUGAAAUUGAAAUUAAGAAUUGUAAUUUUCAAAAAAAUCUACAUCACAAGAAGGGAAACAUGGAAUGUUUCUCUCGUGCGAUGGAGAGACUGAGUGUGUGUGAUGGAGAGUUCACACUCCAUCUCCAUCACACAUGGAGAGAAAUGUAAUUUAUUUUGUUCAUACUAUAAAUAUAUUUUUUUUCGAUUUCAAUUUUUUUAAUUCUUUUCUAUUUAUGAUAAAACAAAUUUUUUUUUACAAUUUAAGUUAAAUAAUAUUUAUUUUUUAUUUUAAUUAUUUCAAUUUAAUUAAAAAACUUUACAAUAAAUUUUUUUGUUUUAUUUUUCAUUUCAUUUUUUAUCCCUUUUUACAUGCAUUUAUAGUACAAAACGAUAUCGUUUCCCUAUAUUGAAUGGCAAAACGACACUGUUUAUUCCAUUAAUAUGAUAAAAGACUGAAUAUAUCUUAUAAUAAUUAUAGAAAAAUAUUAAUUAUUUAAUUAAUAAUAAUUAAAUUUUCGUCAAUGUAUGUUAUAUUCACUCCUUACCUUAAUGUUUGAGAUGAAAUAUUUUUAUCCAAAAAUGAAAAAAUUUAAGAUAAUAGUAAAAUCGAGAAUCCUAAUCUUAAAUAUUAUCCUUCUGAACUCUGCAUUUAGAUGGUAUUCUAUUAUACAAAAAUUCAAAUAUUUGAACACUGAACAAGAAAUAAUGGAAUAAAAUAUAAUCUCAAAAAAUUAAGCGAACCAAAUUGUAACUAUCAUUUUACACCAACACGAAUAAAAAAACUAAAUGAUUUAACAAUUAAAGAACAAAAAAAUUGCAAGCGAAAAAAAAGUUAUUAUAAUUUUUUAAUUAAAUUAAAAUAAUUAAAAUAAAAAAUAAAUAUUAUUUAAUUAAAAUUAAAAAAUUACGUCAAAAGUUUUUCCACCUUUCUCUCCUCGAAAAAAUGGGCGAAGAAGGAGGUCAAUCUAUCUUCAUUAGACGUCUUACCUCUCCUUCUCUCCUCGAUCAUAAAACGAAAAGAAUUAAAAAGAAUUUUAAAUCGAACAAAAAAUUAUUUAUAAAAUGAAGAAAAAAGAGAUUUUAAAACAAUUUAAAAAUAUAUAAUAAAAAAAUAAAUUAAAGAAAAGAAAGUUACGAAAAUUAAGUAAAAAAUAUAAAUAUUAUUUAAUUAAAAUUGAAAAAAUUAAGUUUUAUCAUAAAGAAAAAAGAAUUAAAAAGAAUUUUAAAUCGAGAAAGAAUUAUUUAUAAUAUGAAUAAAACAAAUUAAAAAAAUAAAUGAGGAAAAAAUAAGAAAAGGAAAAAUGAAAAAGAUAUCUAUGUGCUGCACAGAGAUCACUUCUCCAUGAUAUCCACAAGUAUUAAAUUAAUCAAAGUAGGUUAAGCUACUACCAUAAAUCUCAAAACAAAUAUUUCGCUCAUGUUAAACAAUUGAUAAAAAAGAGAAUAUCUAUAACAAUACAUUAUAAAUAUGGCAAAACAAUUGAGAAAAAACAAGGUUACAAGUAAAAUCCUCCCUUUUUUUUAUGCUUGGUUUUGACUUCCCCAAAUAUUUCUCCAUCUUCCUAUAUGUAUUCUCCUUUUGCGCUAGGUUUUACACGCAAAAUAUCAAGAAAAUGAAGAAAAGAAAAUGAAAGGAAAAAGAAAGAAAAGAAAAUGAAAAGAAAUUGAGAAGGGAACAAGAAGCUCGAAUUCUUCCUGUGGUUGUCUCGUUUUAAAUGUUAAAACCCCAAAAAAUUUGCAGUCAAGUCCCUAGAGUUUGGAUAACCAUUUAAAAUGGACCCCGUAUUUUUAAAGUAGCGCCUAGAUAAUAACGUUAAAUUAGUUCCAUUUUUGCAGCUAAGUCCCCUAGAUAAUUGCAUGUUAUGUCCCUCAGAUUUGAUGCUGUACAAUUUGUUCCUCAUAUUCUAAUUUUCAUUUAAAUCAAACCCUUCAUAAAUUUCAGUCCAAGGUCCUCAACUUUUAGCACUUGCACACUUUGGUCCCCAAUUUCAUAAUUUUUCACACUUUUAGUCCUUUUUUCCUCAUUUGCCUUGCUCUCAUUUUAUGGGUGAUUUUUGGCCUACAAAAGCCAUAAUCACAUAAUUGUAAAGAAAUUUGCUCAAUUUAAUCAAUAAUUAGCUUGUUAAAGUAUCUAUAAGUGUGCAAAACACACAUAUCAAGUAUCAAUCAAUCAGUUCCUAGGUAGGGAAACAUUUAAUGUCCCCUAAUGAGUAGAUUUUAUGACUUGAUCUUUUGACAUCUAUUGCACAAACAUCACAUCAAUCAAUCAUGUAAAUCUUAUUUUUGCUAGAUCCUUGUACAAAAGAUCCUCCAAUUAAUAGAAAAGAGGCAACAUGAUAGUGUUCCAUCAGCUCUGAUCCACCUCUUACCUCUUCAGCAUAUAUCCCUUCAAGGCGUACAACUUCGACGACUCAGUCAAACUGUGAAUAUACAUUUGAAACAUUUCACCUUGGCGUUUCGAUGGUGCGGGGUGACAUGGAGUGCAAGCUUUGUUGAUUUGUUUAGCUGGCUACCAUGUUGGUGAUGAUCUGAAGCCAAAUUGGUGACAAUCUGGAGCUUGUUCAUAAGAGGCAUAGCUUUAAUAGUCAACAUUCUGGAGAUAUAUUUAAUGACUAGGAAAUUACCUAGGGUCUCAACAUUUUAUUUCCCAUUAUGGAUAAUGAAAGAUUUAGUAUUUUUUUUUCCAAAAAGAAUACGUACGUUUAGUGAAUUUUUUUAGCUAUUUGCUUUCUCGAAUUUAGUGUUAAUUUAUUGAUGGAAUGGUCUUGUCAAUUGAACCCUUAAUGGGAUUUCAAGACUCAUGGUAACAUCGAUAAACCGUUUUUUGCUAAAUAGAGGCAUUCACACUCUCUAUUUUUCUUUCUACACAAGGUAGAGUUCUCUCUCAAGUUUUUCUAUAAUCUCUAUAGUAAAGGAUCAUCAAAUUAUAAACUCUCACCCUAUUUAAGAAAAUAUUGGAUGGAAGAAGAUAAUGUGAACUUCGCUUCAUUUUUUUGUCAAAUUUUUUCACCUUUAUGGAUGCCCAUAAUCUUCACUUGAUAGAGAAAGUAAAAUUGGUUUUCUUUUCCUUGAAAAUUUGAUAAUAUUUGUAGUAAAAUUCUACAUAUGAUGGACUGCACAACAAAUCUCCCCCUCCACCUCAUGUGGUGGGUUCUACUAAACUCGCUUUUUGCCUUCGAGCUUCCAAUUUCUCCUUUAGCAAAGAUUUCAUUAACACAUCAGAUCUAUUAUUGCUAGUAUACAUGUUCUCUAAAUUCAACGACUUGGCUUCAAGUACAUUAUGAAUCCAAUGAUAUCUGGCAUCAAUAUGCUUGGAUCUAGAAUGAAAUGUUGAGUUAUUGGAGAGGAGGAUAACACUAUCCACUCUAAUUAUUACAAUAAACAACAUACUUUUCUUGUUGUAAUCCCAAUUAUUGAAAAAAUUUCUUCAUCCAAAAAGCUUCUUUACAAGUUUCAAUGAUAGCAAUAUAUUCAGCUUCUAUAAAUGAUAAAGCUACACAUUUUUACAACUUGGACUACCAAGAAACAGCCUCUCCAUAAAAAGUCAUCAAAGAAUUUUGAUGUGAACUUCCUAGAAUCACUAACACCUGCUAUAGCCGCGUCUAUAUAUCCGCCUAACAAAGGUUCACCACCAACAAAGCACGAACGCGCCUUGAAAGUACCUCUUGGAUACCUAGUAUCCAUUUUAUUGCUAACCAAUGUUCUUUUCUAGGAUUUGAAAGAAAUUGGCUAAAAACUCCAAUGGCAUGAACAAUGUAUGGUCCUGUAUACAUUAUAGUAUAUAUCAAGCUUCCAACUGUAGAUGCAUAAGGUACUUUGCUCAUCUCUUCCUUCUCUUUCUCACUUUAAGGACACUUUUUAGCUGUCAACUUGAAAUGACUUGCAAAUGGAAAUAAAGCAGAUUUUGCCUUACUCAUGUUGAAUCUUUCAAAAACUUUUUACUAUAGUUUUCUAGAGAUAGCCACAAUUUUUUGUUCUUCCUAUCAUGGGAUAUCUUCAUGCCAAGAAUUUGAUUUGUCGAUCCCACGUCUUUCAUUGUAAAAAACUUACUUAACUCCUUUUUAAACCUGUAGACUUCUUGACCAACAAUCAACAUGUCAUAAAUAUAUAGCAAGAGAAUAAUAUAAUUAUCAUCAGCAAAUUUCUUUACAAAUACAUAGUGGUCCGAUGUCAUUCUAUUAUAUCUCUAACUAGUCAUAAAGUGAUCAAACUUCUUAUACCACUGUCUUGAAACUUGUUUGAGUCUAUAUAAACUUUUUUUUAGUUUACAAAUAAGAUGCUAUUUUCCUUUAACUUGAAUUCCUCUAGUUGCUCCAUAUAAAUCUUGUCUUCCAAGUCACUAUGUAAGAAGGUUAUUUUUACAUCAAAUUGUCCAAUUUUCAAAUUCAAAUGGGUAGCAAGAGUAAGAACAACUUUGAUGGAUGACAUUUUCAUCUCAGGUGAAAAUAUUUCUUCAAAGAUAAUUCCUUUCUUUUGAUCGAAUCCUUUCACAACGAGUAUGGCUGUGUCUUUUGGUUGUGAACUAUUGUUUUUUUUUCUUUACCCUAUAAAUCUAUUUAUUCUUAAAAGCUUUCAAGCCUUUUGGUGGCUUUAUCAAAUCAUAAUUCUGGUUCUCAUACAAGGACUUUCAUCUCUUUUUGCAUGUCUUCAAUCCACUCUUUCUUCUGCUCUUGUAGCACAACCUCUCUAUAGGUUUCUGGCUCUUCUCCAUCUACAAGCAUCACAUACUCAUCAGUUAAGUACCUUGUAGAUGGCUCUCUUUCUCUACCAGAUCUUCUCAGAGGCAACUCCAUUAGUGGUUUUAGUAGGAUUAGUCCUUCAAUUGUAUCAUUAUCAAUUGUUUGUGCGAAAUCCACAAGCGUACAAGAUUGUUAACAAGUAAUAGAUUUAGUAAGCUGCGAGUAUCGUACCACAGAAAAAUAAAUGUAGCUAGCUAUUGAUCGAUUCAUUUAAUAGACACAACUAGUCACUACCAAGAAAUCCUCUUAUGAAACUACAUGCUUCUCACAAGCUUUAGAAAUCCACAAGCGUACAAGAUUGUUAACAAGUAAUAGAUUUAGUAAGCUGCGAGUAUCGUACCACAGAAAAAUAAAUGUAGCUAGCUAUUGAUCGAUUCAUUUAAUAGACACAACUAGUCACUACCAAGAAAUCCUCUUAUGAAACUACAUGCUUCUCACAAGCUUUAUCUAAAGCUUUAUUGAUUUCCAAAUACUUUUGGAGGAUUCAAAUUAUUACACUAGUCAAUCCCUUUUGCUAGAGGAUUUCAUAUAUGAGCCUUUGGAUCUGUAUUCAUAUUCUAGUUUUUUUUUCUUGUUUCGUCACUAUUUCCUCUUCAAAGAAGAUAUAAUUCACAAAAAUAUGUUCCAACAGUAACUCCGGCAAUAAUCUCAGCUAAAAAACUAUUAUCAUUCCAUAUGAAAAAUUUCCCUUUUGACUUCAUGAUUAAAACAUUAUAUUCUUGCAUACUAGUAUUCCAACUCUUUAAAAGCAUAGUUCGUAUUCCGUAAUUCGGAAACAUUGAUGAAUGAACACGUCAUUUCAUAUUGAUUUAUUCUCUCUUUAAUGUUCAGGAUAUUUUCGUUAAUGGACGAUGUAAGCAACAUAUUCGGGGUUCUCUGUAUCCUAGAGGUAGCUCCUUUCUCUUACCCCUGUGAUCUGCUCUCGUGUAUUAGAAGCUAGGAUUGAACUGGCUUUCCUUUCUUUACCAGGCUCAAGGAAAGUUAGGAGUGAAAGAAUUUUGCUUACCUUGUGCAUCGCCGGCAGUGGGGCAAAUAUCGCCUUAAGGAAAGAGCUAAUGCGUGUCUUGGAGCCAAGUUUCUUCAACUCUAUAAGUUUAAUGUGAUUUUCUCCAAUAUCAUGUAGUUCCCGUCUCGACCAUUGUGAAGAUAGUUCCAUCAUUAUAUAGGACGUAACAUUAAACAUGGUGAAUUUUCUAGGUACGUGAUGUAAUGACACGUAGGAUGGAAUCAGUACUCCCCAACCAAAAUAUUAUGGAACUUAUGCAAAUUAUACUAGUUCCUGCAAAUCAAGAAAUACCCUAGGUGUCCCAACAAAUUCAAGUUUGUUGGUGGUGAGGCUAAUUAAGGCUAUCGGGAAAAUGGGAGGCAGAAAUCAAGAACACAACUUAGAAGAUUGGAAUUCGGCUCGGGACAUUGGACAUUGCUCAUUCAUGAAGAGGCAGCUUUUGCAUAUGACAAGGCUGCUUGGCUAUGGCUUAUGAAAAGGCGGCUAUGGCUUAUGACGAGGCUGCUUUCCUUCGUGGUACAAAUACACCCCAGGCUGCUACGGCUUAUGCAAUUGACAAGGCAGCUCUGGCUUAUGAAAAAGCAGCUACGGCUUAUGACCAGGCUGUUUUCCUUCUUCGUGGUACAAAUACACCCCCUCCUGUUCUUGCUUCCACAAACAGUACCCCAAGAAAAAGUAGCAAUCUUGGUGCUCGUAAUAUAAAUAUUUCUCCUAGUUCUUCUCAAUAUGUUACAAAUUUUUACAAUUUUCUGGUGCAGGAUGCAAUGAUAUAUAGGAUAAGACGAAGAUGAAGGGAAAAAAAAGAAAAGAAAGAUCAUAUGUAAUAUAUCCUUCAUUAUUGACGAGCCCUGUUCACAUAUAAUACAAUGAUUAUUGGCUCACAAAUACUAAAAUCAUAUGAAACUGUAACAGUACUGGACGCAUAUCUGCAUCCAAUCUUUGGCUUCUUUGAGAGGGAGACAUACUUAGGUGUGAACUGCAACAAAUUAUCGGAAUGCAUGAACGAAUAGUGAACGAAAUUUGAUAUAGAUAUAUGUUAGUGUAAAUUUAUGGGAGCCAGAAAUAGGGUUGUAACAUGUACCAUGCAGUUGCAGGAACACUCAGAAUAUAUGAAAGUGACAAUGAAAUGUUUCACAGCAAGCACCUGGAUUUUCUGGAUCACUGCCUGCAGCUGGCAAAUCUCCUCCACCACUGGUGUAAAGACGGAGUUUUAAGAGUAACCAUGAAAGACCGGAAAUGGACAUUACAGUUACCAGGAUGAUCACUAUUGUCAUUAAGUUAAAUUUGAUUUCCAUGAAGCUAUAAGAUUAAUUACAAGACUGGAGGAGAAACAUAUAUAUAUAACACUAUAUAUCUAUCUUUUCUCUAGUUGAUUAUAUACAUAAGACAUAAGACGAAAUUCAUUUUAUUUGCCUAAUUUCACGAAAGGAAGAAUUCACUCUUUUAUCUUGUUGAUAGAGACUUCUUAAUUAGUAAUCGGGAUUCUAGGUUAAAAAAAGAGUUAUCCGCAACUUUUUAUUCUUUCUACAAUUAGAUCUUAGGUCAUCAAAAAAAACUCCAUUCUUAUUUACUUUGAUUCUUAUAAACUAACUACUUGUUUGCUACAAAUAAACUAAUUGAAUUUUGUGUGCUCUACUUGAUUGAAUUUUAAUUCAAAGGAAAGAAAGCGUGGAGCUUAAAUAACUCACUCAGAACGCUUUUUAAAAGAUUACGUAUAUAUAUAUAUAUAUAUAUAUAUAUAUAUAUAUAUAUAUAUAUAUAUAUAUGCAGGUAUGUACUUUUUAUGAUUUUGUCUGAUUAUCAGCCAUAAGAGAAGGACAGUGCUCACCGCCUGAAAAUAGGCUGGACAGCAGAAAACAACAGAAAGAGGCUUAAAUUUGAGAAGACGACAAUUAAGACAGCUAGAAAAUGCACGCAAUGCAUUCACAAAAGGAAGAAAAUCCAAACGGUGGCAGAUAACUUUUCCCCCAUAAAGAUAGUUACUAUUAUUUACGCGAGGGAGAGUAGAUGGCUAUGUCAAAUGGAAGAGUAGUUUUUGAGGGCUUUUCUAGAGUCACUGACUAGCCACAAUGUGACUCUUUCUAUUCUAUGAUUUCUUUUGUAUUUGUUGCCAAUAGCCGCUUUUGUUAAUUCAUUUAUUUGAUGAUGAGAAAGUGAUUUAUUACAUGUAUUAAUAAAUAUGCUGGGUAAAGAAGGCUAUUCAUUGGGUAUAUGUAUUCAUUUCAGAUUUUUUCUAAUACAAGAUUGCUUAAGCAAUAGUCCAAAAAAAAAAAAAAAAAUUUGAAAAUAUCUAACUGAAAGUUUUAUGCUUUAUUUGUUUGAAUUAUAAGAACCAAUCUACAAAUCCUAAUUACUCUGCUAUUGUAACAGAAGAAAUGUAAUUUAAAACAAUUAUUUCAAUGGCAAUGGCCAACAAGUAUCAAUAAUUGCAUUCAGGGGCGGAGCCAGAAAAUUUGUUCAGUGCGGGCAUUAUUUAACCGAUGUCGAACAUUGUAUUUCGAUCAUGAAUUUAAUGAUGAUAAAACUAUAAAACAAAAUCAUAGGUUUUGGGUCUAAAAAUAAAACCCAUGUAAAUUAAAACAUGUUUUAUUCCACCUCCCCUGUUGCUUUAUAAUAAAAAAAAAAAAAAAAAAAGUUUAGGCCUAAAAUUUCAGUGCGGGCAUCGUCUCAACGUGGCUCCGCCACUGAUUGCAUUUAUAUAAUUAAAGUACUCAAUAAUCUUCAAUAUAUAGUCAACAUUAUUUUCCAACAAGGAAAUAAUGAUUACAAUUAUAAGACCCUAAAAAUAAUGUUGAAGUUUGAAUAAUGGUAUUAGAGGGAAGGAGUCUUUGGAGCAUCAAUUUGGAUACCUAGGCACGAUUCAGAAAGAAGAAACGGAUUUUGAACUCUAAAAAAGGCGCUUAAUAGCUAUUCGUGGCGCUGGACUGUCGCCUCACUUGCUACCUGCUUUUUUGCUCGAGCGUUGCGUCAUGCUUGCUUGGCUCUCGCCUGCUGCUCGAGCGGCAAUGUUAUUCCAAAAAAAUAUUUUUUUUUUCCACUUUUCAUCUAUAAUAUAUUCCUUUGGUUCCUAUUUAUACUCCACGUGAUUAUUAAGCUUUGAAUUAGAUCUUAGAUUUCAAUGUAUAAAAUUAGAAUACAAUUCAUUUUAUCUUUUCUCUCCUAAUGAAUAAAACUCUCAUCCUUUGUCCAUGGUAUUUUUCACAUUAAUUUUUUGCGUUCGUGUGUUGUGAUCUUUAGUUUGUAUUCUUUCAUAUCUCGCUAUUAUCUAACAAGUGAUAUUACCGCUCGCAACUACUUAGUUAGAUUGUUAACACGUGGUAUCAAUGCAAUUUAUAGUUCUUCGCAACCAAUGGCUUGAUUUCUAGGAAGUGGUAUCGUAACAUAUACAUAAUUCUUACUAUUUUCUUAACAAGUGGUAUCAAUAUCAAAAUUUGACAGUAUUUUGGUAGAGCUAGUUUUGGUUUCAUUUCAGAGCGAGGCUUGAUAAACUCAAAAUGAGGUUUGAUUAUUUCGGGACAAUAAGUGUGUAGUUUGAUAUCUCGCUUUUCGAUCGUAGCAAGACUUUUUUAUUAUGGCAGUUCUUGUUUGGAUACUGGAGGAUAAGCAAUGUAAGGAACGAGUUAUAUAUUUUGGAACGUUCGACAAUCAUGUUUGAUAUAGCAAUCAUUAAAUUAAAGAUUAGACAUCAGGAUAAGUUUAGUGAGACUGAUUUGGUUGCUUAUGGUGUAAUAAAUUCGAGCAAUUUGGUAUUGAAGAACUUGUCACUAGUUUAAGUGGAGUUAGUUUUGAUGUUUUGCUUGUGUUUCAAGCAAAUUUGGCACUUAAGGUAAUUUUGAUCAUAAGCAGUGCUUGAUUCUACAAAAUCUUUGGAUCAAUAAGCAAAAUUUAGGAUUGGGGUGGAUUUUGAGUUCAGUUCAGCAUCAUUGGAGUUUAGUUUAAGGUCUACAUUGAAGAAUACAUCUCAAUCGAGUUCAAAAGUUAUGAAUAAUUUUGCUUUUGCCACCAUAUUCAAUUGCGAGAGACAUACCCAUGAGAGAUAUCAGGCUAACACUAUUUUUGUUUUGAAAGUGAUUGAAGGUAUUGAUUAUAGCCAAGAUUCUUCUAUUGAAGCAGUUAAUUAUGUUGAUUCUGUUACAUGGCUUGUUUCUGUCCUUUCUGGUACUUAUUAAAUUAUUUGUGAUUUUGUUACUCGUGGUGAUUGUACAUGAAAUUAUCUUUCGAAUUAAAAUUGCAGUAAGUGUACUGUUCGUUACACAAAUAAUAAAGUAGAUUUUGAAUCCAAAUAUCAUUCCACACAGAUUGUAUUAGUUUAAAUUCAAAUUAUUUUCACCUUAAUCUAAACAAUAAAAAUUCAUGAUUUUUCUUUGACUAAAUUAUGAUUUAAUAAUCUAUUUAUAAAUUUAAGACCUUAAUUAACUAAACCAAAUGUGAGAUUAUAACUAAAUGCAAGUUUUAUAAAAAUAUGAUGAAGAAACGCGUACUAGAAUCUCCUUUAACCUGAAUUUUAUAAAUUUGACAAUACAAUUCAAUUAUGAAGACCAAUAUUCCUAAUUUAUUUAACAAUCUCUCUCGAGUAGAAUUAAACCUAUUUUUACAUGUGGCCCAACUUUAUUUCUAUGACGGAUGCGAAUAUAUAAAAAUGCAUUAAAGAUUUACAAAUAAUUAAAGGUCACGUAAAGCAUAGCAUAAUAUUUCUAUCCUCUAUCGGACUCUACAACAAUUGACACAAUGUCUAACUUAUUUUUCGUCUCUCGAGGUAAAACAAGCCACAAAACUCAUACAACUAUCGCGCAUAUAAUUGUAGAGAAAAUAAUAUCUAUGACGAUCAUUCAAUAAUUAAAAACGUGUUUUAAUGUCAAAAUACAUACAAUUUAAAAGUUAAAAGUUCAUAAUACAAGGUUCAUAGCAAAUCUUAGUUCAAAAUAAUUUAGCCGCACAUAAUGUUGAUAUUAAACAAAGAAAGGAUAAAAGACAUCACCAAAAAUCGGCGAAAUAUCAUUAAUUCCCACUCAAUUGUUUAUAAAUUAUCAAACAAAGAUUGGGAAUGAAUUCCAGUUUCCAAAGCUGCUGCCCAAUUUUGUGUAUGUCUUCUCUUCUGCCAAUACGCGUGUGAAUAUAUAUUCCAUUCACAGCCACCAACUUAUACUUAUCUCCAAACAGCUUCUUUUGUGUGUGUUUUUUUUUUUUAAAUAAUUUCCAGCAGCCUGCCUUUUUAUGUGUUUACGUAAUAUGCAUGUAAUCGGCCCUCUUCAAAUUCUGGCCAUAUGUAUAUAUAUUUAUGUUUUCCUCCAACAGGCGCCGUUUUCUGUAGGUGUAUGUGUGUGCCUUUGUAAUUCCCUCAGCCUCAAUUCUAUGCCGGCAACCUUCAAUUUUUUUCUUCCUCCCCGCUUUUGCCGUUUCGCAUGUGUAUAUAUAUAUAUAUAUAUUCCCACAGCAGUAGGUAGCCCUUUCCUUUUUUUUUUUUUGGCCCUUUAACAAGAGCCCAAUUGGUUGAUUUUUAUUUAGAGGAAAUUACAGCCAAAAUUUUAAUACCAGAUUUCAUUUAUAAAGGUUAAAGUUUGUGAAUUUAGAAAUCGGGUUUUAAUUUUUUUAAUUAUUAACACAUUUAUAUAUUUCUUAAAUGUAACUAUUCCGUUCUUUACGUUAAAAUUGGAGAGACUAUUUUCAAAUAAGGUAACGAUAUCUUUAGAAAACCUCCUAACCGCAAUGCACAAUCUCCCAUGAUCUACCUACUAAAUUGAUACAUACCCAAACGAUAGAAACCGCCCUCUUAUGUAUAGGCAACGAAACCCCAUUUCACGGCUUCUCAGUUUUAUAGGAAACGAAACCCCACAUCACCGCCCUUCACUGUUACAGGCGACGAAAGAGAAUAAACCCCACAUCACUGCCAUUCACUGUCACAUGCGACGAAAGAGAAUAGCGAAAAUGAAGAGUUCCGACCGGCAAUCACAACUGGAGAAAGGUGAUUCAUAUGCCCUAGAAAACAAACCGCUCGAAAGGAGAUUCGCGACGAAACACCGAGACAAGGAACGAAGAAUGUGAGUAUUCUGUGACCCUUUUUCAUGAAAGGGGUAAUUUUUUUCUCCGAUUUUCAUGAGUCAUUUCGAACGGUAUAGGGCUACGUUUGGUGGGCUAUGUGUUCGGCUUAUGAUUGUGUAAAAAUUUGUGACCAUUGUUCGAUUAAUCGGUAUUUUGGCUUGUGUCUGGGUUGUGUGAACAUUUUUUUGGCGUAAUUGAUUGUGGGGUGUGACUGCUGUGUGCGAUGUCUUAGCAUAGGGAUGGUUGUUGAGUAAUCUUGAAAAGAUAAGUGGUGGGUUAUGAACAAUUUGUGUUGUGAACUUUGUGUGAAUGUGGUUUGUGUCAAAUUUGGUUAUGAACAAGAUGUUGUGUGACUACGGUCUACAGAUGGUUUCUGAACGUCCACAUAGUUUGUGACCGACGCUGUAAACCAUAACUUGCUCUCUGACUUUCUGGUAGACGAAUGAGUCUACAAUGGGAAGUGAAUGUGACCUCUGUGUGCCCCAUAAACAACUUGUAACAUAGAUUUGAAUUUGUUCUUACAUCUGGUAUACAUAGUUUGUGACCAACACUGUAAACUAUAACUUGUUCUCUGACUUUCUGGUAGAUGAUUGUGUCUACAAUGUGAAGUGACUGUGAUCUCUGUGUGCCCCAUAAACAACUUGUGACAUGGAUUUGAUUUUGUUUUUACAUCUGGUAUACAUACAUUAACAAGAUCUUUGAAAUAUAUUUUUCACUUUGCCAUUAAUGUUUUGCAGGAAUGGAACUACAUUAUCCCCGAAGAUCAAUGGUUCCCGGGUAAAAUUACCACAAAUGUAAUGAAGAAUGUUUUGACAGAUUUCAAAUCAAAGUUCACUGACGAACAGAAGGUCAUCUUGGCAAACACAUGUUUUUCAUAUUACAUGGAUUGCCGAGAAUUUGUUGUACAGCCCCAACUCAUACACUACUUUUUGCUGAGGGAGGUUAAGUAACCAAAUCAUAAUGAGAUGUGGUUCAAGAUUGCGAAUAGAUAUUUGCGGUUCUCAUUGUGUGAGUUUUGUUUGGUCACAGGUCUUAGAUAUAAUGGCAAGGACGUUAGGAGAAGGCUUGAGAACGUCCCUUCUAGGAUCAAAGAAACAUAUUUUGGGGAUUUGAAACUAGUGACAAACAACGACGUGCUUGAUAUGUUUUUGAAUUUGUCGGAUGUAGAUGAUCAUGAUGUUGUGAGUAUUGGGAUUCUAUAUUUCAUUACGUCAUUUCUUUUCUCUACGUCAUAUACGAAGUUGUUGAAAGUUAUUUGUUCUCUUUAGUAGAAGAUUCUGUUGCGAUGGAGAGGUUUCGAUGGGGUAAGGACUUAUUUGAGAUUUCUAUAAAAUCUUUGAAAGAGAGUUUGGGACAUAGAAAUCCUCACUACGGACUAAAGGGUUUUUUGGUUGCAUUUCAAGUUUGGAUUUAUGAGUGCAUUCCAAGCCUCAAUGGACCUGUGACCAAUAGGGUGGGGAACCGGCACCCCCGUAUUAUGAAUUGGGCAUUGUACAAACAACCUUCUACAUCAAAUUGGAUGAAGAAGUCUUCUCCCAUUCCGAUGUAAGUGUGUAAAUAUUUUGUAUUUUUAUAUGUAGCUCACUGCUAUUGUAGUCAUAAAUCACCGGUCAUAAAACACACAGUUGUUAUAGUUCACUUGUUCGCAUGUCACCAAUCAUAUGCGUAGGUCACAGAACUCUGAGUUAUCAAGGCAUAUAGAUGCAGAUUAUGGGACCUAUGUGUGCGAGUCACAAACUGCGUGCACAAGUCAUAGGCCACAGACUUGUUAUAUUUUCACAAGUGUUAGCAGUUCAGAACACGAUGUAAGUGUGUAAAUAUUUUGUAUUUUUAUAUGUAGCUCACUGCUAUUGUAGUCAUAAAUCACCGGUCAUAAAACACACAGUUGUUAUAGUUCACUUGUUCGCAUGUCACCAAUCAUAUGCGUAGGUCACAGAACUCUGAGUUAUCAAGGCAUAUAGAUGCAGAUUAUGGGACCUAUGUGUGCGAGUCACAAACUGCGUGCACAAGUCAUAGGCCACAGACUUGUUAUAUUUUCACAAGUGUUAGCAGUUCAGAACAUUUUCACGUGUUCACAGGUCACAAACUGUAUGCGUAGCUCACAAAAACACUGACUUGUUGAGGCACUUAGUUUGAAAAAAUGGAACCUGUGUACGCAGUCACAAACUACGUGCAUAGGUCACAGGCCACAAUCUUCUUAUAUUUCGAAAGUGUUAGCAGGUCAUAAACUAUAUGUCAUGCAAACUGGUUCAGCAAUUAUAUGUUUAGGUCACAAUGCUUGAUGGUCAAUUUAUGAAUAGUUGAUUAAUAUGUUACUGAAUUAUAUGAUGGUCGCAUAUUGAAGUUCGUGACAUUAUCCCAUCUGAGAAUGAACUGGCAGCUUCAUACAUGAGUGGUGUUCUAUACAACAAACCAAUUCAACCAUGUAGACAAUGCGAUUUUUGCUCUCAAGAUCCAAAACUAUGAAGGCAUGAGUGCUGCUAUGCACUCUCAUAUGUCCACCCUAAGUUUGUUAAUGAUUACAGAUGGACAAAAAGGUCAUUGCAGUGAUGUUGAGUCCGACGAUGAUGAUGAUUUCGUUGAUACACCACCCAAGAGGCAGAAGACAUCACACUAUUUCCGUCCACCAGGCGAAAAGCACACAACAUAUGAAUAUUUUCCAACAGAACCAGAAGGACCUGAGACGAAUACUCCAAUCAAGCCGCAGGAAACAUGUACCGAUGCUGAACCAAAUGUAAGUUCCUUGUAUAUAUGUGUGCAAGAUACAAGGUGUGAAUAAUAGUACAUAGCAUAGGUCAUAAUUCUCAUUGAAUGCAUUGACACUGAUCUGUUACAGAUUGUUGACCAGUUGAGAAAGGAGUUGAGUAACCAAAUCCCUGAACUCUAGAGUAAGAAUAUUGAUUUGACAUUGCAGCUUAACGAUGUGAAGUCACAGUUAACAUCCUUGAAGGAGAACAUGAGCAGUAAGAUAGAUCAAAUUAUUUGCAUGCAAGGUGACAUUCGUUCAGAGAUGGCUGACAUACGUUCAAGCAUGAUUUUUUUGUCUGAUUAUGUGACUACGUUGAUAUCAAGUACGAUGGAUGCUAUAUGCCAAAAGCGAAGGACAGAGUGCUCGAGUUGUAGACCCGCAGGAUAGGGUACAUACUCCUCUAUGUUCAAUUCUUUUAUGAUGUUCAUACCUCACAUUGCCAAUUUAUAUUGUAUUAGAUUAGGUCACCAAUGUUGAACAAACAAUGGACAAGAAAGGCAAGGGCAAGAUGGACCCCGCUGAUGACAUCGAAUAUUUGUACUUUUCCCCGACCCCAUCUUUCGAUUUGGGAAUUGAUUCCACACCAAUCAUUUCAAAUGUUGCAAGUAUGGAUGAAAUGUUCAAAUCCAAGGAAGUACAACAACAGGUUGACGCUGUAAUAGCUGGUGUGGUGAAGGAAACCGAUGUUGAGGAGUAAGUUGGCAUGACGACGACAACCAUAAAUGAGGAGCAGGCAAUAUUUUUAGAUCCUCUGGCAUACGUAUUUUUGUAUGGUCACAAACAUAUGUCACAACUAACAUGUUAACACAACAAGUUUGUCACAUGUUAUAGAUACAAUAGUCAUGUGCACGUGUUAAUAUUCCAUAUACUCUGGCACAAAUUAAUAUCACUAAGAUUUCUUUGUAGGUCACAACAUUCAGUUAUUUUUCGACAUUGUCUGCAUAAAUAUAUAAAAACACCUUCUCUGAACAGAUUCAUUAUUUUCCAACAUGUAGGGUUCUCCUCCUUCGGCACCGACAUCUGGCCUUCCAGUUAAGAGAGCUCCUAGAUCGACAUAGAUUUUGCAGUCCUCAUAUGUUACUGAUGCUGAAAAAUAAAGCAAGCAUUGAGAUGGUGUUAUCGUAUUUGACAAGCAUGACAAGCCAGCGGACGAGGCUGAUGUAGUUGCGUUUCAAAAUUGGUUUAACCGAGGUUACAAACCAAGAAAUAAGUAUGUAUCUUCUAAGUUUUUGUGUGCUCGGGCUUCUUAUGAAUUCAUUGGGAGUUUUAAUUAGUAGUUAACUGCUCUUUUUUCGUUGCAGAAAGAAGUUUAACGAUGCGGAUGAUCAUAUUAAACUGCUCUUUUUAAUUGGUUCGUUCCCGAUCGACUCAAAAAUGUGGUGGCAUGAACUUAUCUAUUCUGAAUCUUUGUUGACUGGGAUGGUAUGAUCCAUAGUUCUAAACAGUCACAUUGUAAAUAAUCAUGUGCUUGUAAAAGUUUUGAACAGUUCAUAUUUCAACGCCUUUUUUACGGUUCAUAUGUCGAACAGUCAGGACACGGUUGUUGUCCACAUAUCAGGAGUCACAAUACACAAGUCACUGGUCACAGUAGACAGGUCACAACUGUGUAUGUUGUUGAAACUCCCAGAGGUCACAUAUCACAUCUGCACAGGUCACAACUACCCUUCAUCGGUCAAAAUCGACAGGUGACAAGACAGGUCACAGUAACCAGGUCACACUAAGUAUGUUGACUAUAGGUCACAGGUCACAUCUACAUAGGUCACAAAUUCCGUUUCCUGUUCAAAAGACACAAGUCUGCAAAUUUUACAGAUUAUGUCUAACAGGCCACAACCUCAUUGCAUACAGGUCACAAGUCACACUUCACAGUUUAUCAAACACCUUUCAAUGUUCAACGCACUCGUGUCGCAUUUCCACUUUAGACGUUUUAAACUGUUUACAAAUCACAGCAUUGUUACAAAUUCGUUUUUAUUGCCACAUCCACAUGCUAGAUAACCGUCUUUUAUGUUUUACAGCAUAUGGACGUAUGUUUUCAUUACCUAUGGCAGUUUGUAGAACGAAGUCCAGAUGCAAAAUCGAGUAUUACAACAACUGAUACCCUAUUUCAAGCCAAGAUAAAAAAAACAUAUUUUCCCAAUUUCAGAAAGAUCAAAAUGUGAUAAUGACAGACUCUACAAUUAUAAUGACAGACUCAUACAUUGUAGAGGUUGCCACAGGUAGGCAAUUAGAAUUCAGUCAUUCGUGGUCUGAAGUUGAGUAUGUACUUAUCCUGAUUUUGCCCACAAAUCGUGCACACUGGAUGCUGUGUUGCCUAGAUAUAAGAAAUCAUAAAAUGUAUGUAUUUAAUUCCAGCUAUAAGACCUAUCGUUAUAGAAUGGUUUUUGUCGAGGUUGAGCCAUUUGCCCUAAUCAUCCCGCGUUUGUUGUUUGGAUUGGGCAUUUGGAAGAAAACUUUUGAUGAUAAUGAUAAAGAUCCAAUGGCGUUAACAGUGUUGCUUGCUGACAACAUUCUGCAUCAAUAGAAUGGGUAUGGUUAUGACUUGUAUUCAUUUUGUGACUUGUUGAUCGUACAAUUUUGGUACAAUAUAGUGUCAUAUCUGAUGUGCUACCCUUUUUUUAUUUUUUUUUAGCCAUGAUUGUGGCAUCUUCGUCAUUAAGUUUGCAGAGUACAUAUUGCAUAAUGACAUGAAGUCAAUGCCAAUGAAUCUUGACGCUAACCGAGCUAGGUUGGACAUUGCUACUCGAUUGUCUAAGCAUAAGGAAAUCAAGAAGGAAACAAACUCUAUGUGCAGGUCACAGAGCGCUCAAUUGUCAUAGCACAGUUUGCUGAUUAGUCACGGCACAUUGUUACGGAUAAUAUGUGACCCAGUUCGCGCAGGUUACAGUCAAUAUACAUAGGCACAAGACACAGUUUGUUAUAGCUCAAACUUUGUAAUGGUUCAUGUUUUCACAGGUCACAAACUCUAUGUGCAGGUCACAUAGCACUCAGUUGUCAUAACACAAUUUGCUGACUAGUCAUGGUACAUUGUUGCGGAUAAUCUGUGACCCAGUUCACGCAAGUCACAAUCAAUAUGCAUAAGGCACAAGUCACAGUUUGUUAUAGUUCAAACUUUGUAAUGAUUCAUGUUUUCACAGGUCACAUAGCACUCAGUUGUCAUAGCACAGUUUGCUGAAUGGUCAUGACACAUUGUUGCGGAUAAUUUGUGACCCAAUUUGCGCAGGUCACAAUCAAUAUGCGUAGAACACAAGCCAAAGUUUGUUAUAGUUCAAACUUUGUAAUGGUUCACGUUUUCACAAGUUACAAACUCUAUGUGCAGGUCAUAGAGCACCCAACAGUCAUAGCACAGUUUGCUGACUAGUCACGACACAUUGUUGUAGAUGAUAUGUGACCUAGUUCGUGUAGGUUACAAUCAAUAUGCGUAAGGCACAAGACACAGUUUGUUGUAGUUCAAACUUUUCCACAGGUCACAAAUUAUUUAGGGAGGUCACAAACGAAAUAGUUGUCAAGGGCUGUAGUUGUAUAGAUUAUACCACCUAUGUGCAUAGAUCACAUACUACAAUACACAGGUCAUAAGUCCCAGAGUAAUUAUAUUUAACAAGUGGUCGCAGGUCACAAUGUAAAUGCUCAUGCAUACUGGUUCACACAUUGGUCACAGAUGUCCAUACCAAAGGUCAAAGAUUAGCGUCUUAUAUUCACAAGUCUCAUGCAGAUGUGCAUAGUUUAGAAGUCAAGCAAAUUAGGUAUAGGCACAUGUAGUAAUCCAUACUUGCUUCCCCAAUUAUGUGGAAAAUAUACACACCUAAAUGAAUAGCCAUAAGUUCACAUUUAUUUUUUCAAUUGUUACUGAUCAAAUACAAAUUGCAAUAACAUUUUUUUUGUCAAUGUCCAAAUGCAAGUGUAAAUGCGAACAAAUCAUAAGAUGAACACUAAAUUCCAGUAUCAAUAACAUCUCACAAAUUUCUAGAUUUGUUUUGGAUUAAUGGAAGCAAGUUGUUGCACGUUCUACAAUUGUAACCACUUCCUUCACAACGUCCGCAUUUCACAGUUUGUUUCCCCUCCGAGCAAGAUAUUUUCCUCCUCCGAGCAAGAUAUUUUCCUCUUUUCAGCAGGUCUUCCUGAAAUUCUCUUUUGAUUAGGUGGCAGAAUGGUUCUGUCUUCUACCUCUCGAGGCACAGUCCACUCAUGUGAGUUUUCAACUGGGUAUACUGUGUAUUGGUAUGUAUUUAUGUAUGACUCCCUUGUGUAGAAGUACGAACAAUAAUCGAAUGGGUCUACUUUAAUUUUUGCUAUUACAGCCAACACAUGUGGACAUGGCAUUUGAUCAACCUGAAGCAUCUAACAUGUGCAAGUCCGUCUCUCUAUAUCGAUGACAAAUGAUCCAUCAUCAGCAAUCGAAAAAAUCGUCUAGUUCGCUGGAGAAACCUGGUCACAAACAGCACAACGUCAGGUCAAGUAUGUCAAGUAUUUGAUUUCUCAUCAGGUCACACAUAUGAUCUCAUGUUACAAAUGUCGUGGUUACCCUUAAGUUCCUCAGAGCCGUGCUCAUCUCUCUCAACAAUUUCUCGUACUUGGUUGACAACUUUAUAAAGGUGCCACCUGCAGUGUCCAUAUUCUUACAAAGCCAAGAUUGUAUUGUUUGUCUCAACGAAUCCAACAAAGCUAUGAUAGGAUAGUUCGUUUACCGAUUCCACGAUAUUAGAGGUCAUUUGGAAUACCUAUUUACAGGCAUGUGGAGUCGUGACCACCUUUUUAGUCUAACUUCAUUCUACAAAUUGAAAAUGCUAUUAGAUUGGUAUGCGUAUAGCAAUCGAAGACUGUAUACACUCAUAAAGUUAAAUCUUACCAGAUAACCUAUAAUUUUCUUGUUCAUUGUGUCCAACUGUUGCAUGUUGUACUCGAAAUUCGACAAAGUGUAUGCACGAAGAGCUGAAUUGAACGCUUGCACUAUAAUGCGACUUGAUUUACCAAAACGAAAUUUUAAGUUUUGUAGUAGAUGGUACGAACAGAUUUCAUGGCUUGUCCCCGGAUAAACCUGUUCGAUUGCGUUCUUUAUACUAUUAUGCUGAUUUGAUACAAAACAAGGGCCUUCCCUGUUGCCAUAAACACUCUUCAGGUUUUCUUAAAACCAUUUCCAAGAUCUAUCAUUUUCGUUAUCUCCAAUUCCAAAUGCAAGUACGAAAAUGUUGUUGUUUGCAUCCUAUGUACAUGCUGUAAACAGAGUGCCACCGUAGUGCCCAUUCAAGUACGUGUCAUCAACAAAAAUUACAGGCCUACAAUGGACCCAUCCUUGAAUUGAUGCACCAAGUGCCAUGAAACAGUACCUGAAUCUACUCUGACAAUCAACAUCCAACUCUGUGACCAUUCCAGGAUUUGUCUGUUGAAGCAUAUAAAAGUAUCCUGGCAGCUGCCUAAAUGAUUCUGUCCAAUCCCCUCUUAUUAAUCUCAAAGUUUUUUUCCCGAGAUCUUAAUGCAUUCACGUAGUUCAAUGUAACCCCAUAGGUAUGCAACAUGUCAUUACAUAUAUCGUGCAGAGUGUAAAUAUUACGUGAUGACGUGUACUUAUACUUGAUGCAUGAGGACACGACAGACGCCGACACUUGCCUAUGAGAUCCCAAAACAAUGUUGGAAGCGCAUGUGUGACCAUCAGUUAUAUUUCGAAUCUUGAAAAUCUCUGUUUUUUCCAACCUUGAAGACCUGUAUAUCCAAUUGCACUCAUCAUUUGAGCACUUGACGAGGUAUUCCUUUUUGCCUGAUCGAAUACCACAUAUUCAAACAUGCUUUGUAUGGUGAAAAAAGACAAACUCAAUUUCAGAACUUCCUUGUCACAGAACACUCUGCCUUCUUUUAUGCUCAUAGCAUCAAGAACAGAUACAGUUGUGACCAAACGUUCGUCAACCUCCGAUGAUGGUUCAACAACUGCCUCACAUAUGUCAUUUGUUAUAUGCUGCAAUGGAUACACCCCUGCACUAGAUUGUUCGUUAAGUGCAAUCGGCUUGGCCAGUGUACAACUUAGUGCUUCUUGUCCUAUUUCUGUAGAUGUCACAUCAACAUUAAUGGGGUAUUAGGAAGGGUUACGGUCGAUACUUUUGAGAGUUACGUAGGAGAGAACAUUUCUGACUUGUUAUUUUGACGGGUGGAAGAUCAAUGCUCAGAAUGUAGCUCAUUGUGACGGCCUCCUUUGUAGUCUCGAGAUCGAAUUCUGCCACCACUAUUUCCUCAAGCUUCAAGUAACAACAAUUAUGGUCAAUCACCACCAGUGCUGUCUGCGAUUUGUAUAGCAAGCAUACGUGUACAUAUCCCAUUUCUACAAAUGUAAUGGAAGUAUCAUAGUUGCUUAGAGUUGAUAUAGUAUUUGUCACAGAUGGUAAUGACAAUUUCACACACAAUUGGAGGUACAAAAGAUACAUUUGGUAACAUAAGCUUAACAAUAACAGAGAAAUCAAUCCCAGAGACCAAUUGAAGGUCACAGAUCUAAAAUCCGUCACACAUACAGGUCACGUGAGCAUCUAUCUUCCAGGAAGUGACUCCAAUUCAACAUUCAUAUUGCAGCUUGCCCAACAGGAUCACACAAUAAUGCAGUCACACAUAGUGGGCACAAUAAUGCAGCUAUCCCUACCUAAUCAAACAUUCAUAAUGUGACAAGUGACAUAAUAAUGCAGUCACAUAUGCGAAAGCGGAAUCCAAAUGCAAAACAUGUAGUCUGUUGCAUUAUAAAAACGUAGACGUUGAAUCACAUACCUGUCUAUAGUGCAGAUCCUAGAAACCCCAGAGAAGUAUGGUUGUUUGAUUCGGUAUCAGUAAUUUCGAUUGUUGUGACCUUUGACGUUGAUUACGUUGAUUAGCAACUCCGACGAGCAAAUAUCGCGAAGAUUUCAUUCCUGUGGAUUUCGCGAUCAUUUUAUUGGACCCGACGUUGACUUUGUGACUGAAAUUUCUGUUGGAAUUGUAACAGACUGCUUAUUUUCAGGAGCCAUCUGCAAUCAUACCAUAUUUAUGUGUGUUCUAUUUAUAAAAAUAUAUAUACACAUCUAAUUAUAUAAAAUAUGGUAAAUUUAAUUGAGACCUGAUUUAUGAAUAUGUAACCCCUGACACUUAAAAUUGAAAGGUUGUUUGUUGAUAGCCUGUGAUAUGUAUUGUUCCCUUUUAUUUAGUUCAAACAUAAGUCCAAAGUAGGCCCAUUUAGUGUAUAAUUUUGUUCAAGCCAUCAAUUCUCUUAAAAUAGUGCAAUUUAGUCCUUGAGUUCAUCCAAUUGUGCAGCCUACGUCUUCAUCAAUUCAAAUUAAACCCUGCAAUUUUCAAAGUGUGGAAUUUGAUCCCCCAAACUUGCCUAUUUCAUUCAAUUUCAUCAUUUAUUUUUCCAAUUGCUUCAAAAUGAUUCCAUCACUAAAAGCAAAAGAAAAUUAAACCAAGUUAAGUAAAAUUUAAUAAUUUGACGACAUAAAGGCUUAAUAGAAUGGCAUAAAUAAGUGCAUAAAACACACUUAUUAGUGAUAACUCGAGCAGCUUUGGUGUCCAAAAUAAUUUUGCUAAGUAGUGCUUGGAUUCAGUUGAUUUUGUUUUGUUAUUGUGUUUACCUUAGUUGGGUUUUAUGAAAGAGGCGGAGACAUUUGUGUUGGGGAGUUAUUAUUAUUAUUAUUAUUAUUUUGUUGAAAAGUCAUUGAUUUAUUCAUUGCAUUGAAAUUUGUUUUCAAGUGGAGAAUUUUGAAAUUUAUUCACUGUAUUGGAAUUUGAUUCAAGAUGGAGAUUUGUUGAAAUUUGACCUAAAUUCCAUUGAGUUUCUAGCGGACCAUUUGAAGAAUGGUAUUAAAGGGAUCAAAGUUGGACAUUGGAGUCUUUGGAGCAUCAAUUUUGGUGGCCUAGGAGCUGUUCAAGGAGAAGAAAAGAAUUUUGAACCUGAAUCAAGGCGCUUGAGCGCCAUUUAGGGUGUUGGAUUUGCCACCCACUUGCUUUUUUGCUUGAGCUCCGCAUGUCGUUAGCCAACUACUCGAGUGGCAGUAUUAUUCUGAGAAAUAUUAUUUUUGUUUUACUGGCUUCUUUUUUAUCAUCUUUCCAUCUAUAAUAUAUAUUCCUUUAGGUCCAUUAUAUUCCAAGUGAUUAUUGAUAUUAAAUUAGGUCUUAAAUUUCAUUGUAUAGAAUUGAAAUACAAUUUAUUGUAUAUUUUCUCUUAUUAUGAAUAAAAUUCUCCUCAUCUGCAUGUAGUGUUUUCUACGUUAAUUCUAUGUGUUCUUGUGUUGUAAUCUUUAUUUUAUAUUCUGUCAUACAUCACUAUUCUCUAAUAAAUGGUAUUAGCACGUGCAAUUAUUUGGUUAGAUUUGUUAACAAGUGGUAUCAAUACGAUACGUAGUUCUACACAACCAAUAGCUCGAUUUCUAGCAAGCAUACAUAAUCCUUGCUAGUCUUAAUAAAUAAUAAUUCUUUUGAUGCUUGCAAUUAGAUUAUUAUUAAUUAUCAGUUGAUAUUAGAGUAAAACGAAAACUACCAAACAUGGAAAGAAAUGGCGUAUGUAUUUAGACAUUUUGAAUUUGAAGAUGCUUUCUCAUUGGAGAAAUUUACUUAUUCAGGGUGUUUAGAUUGUGAAUUGAUUUUGUCAAUGUUUUCAAAAUCAUCUGGAUCAUUGAUUUGGAAAUGUAAAAAGGUCAAGGGGUCAAACAAUCAAAUCGGAUUGAACUUGAGUGUAUAUCAAUAAUCCCACAUCAAUUCAAUGGACAAAAGGGAAUAAAAAGCAAAUUGUUUAAACAAGGUUCGCAAAUUGUUAAACAGCAACUUUUGGGCUUUGUUUAGUUAUUGGGCUUAUAAAGUUUCUGUUCCUUUUAGAUAGGGAAAAAAUCACAAAUUACCAAGUAAAGAAAAAUAAUUUAUUAAAUACUACACAUUAAUUAUAUUUUAUAGAUCCGAACAUUAUAGAAAAGUAUACCAAAAUUACUAUGAUUUUAAUUUUGUAACUGAGGCAUAUGCAGUGGCAAAGAAAACGCCUACCAUGAAUUGAAAUUUCUUAUCAUCUUCUCUCAAUUAAAACCUCAUGGAAAGUUCAAAUUACGACACAAAAAGGGAAGAAUUGCGUAAUCUAAAAGAUAACUGACACCUCUGUGUUGGGUAUUUUUUGGUAAGUGAUACCCAAAUCCCCUAAGCAAUGAUGAAAAUCGAGGCCCGUUUAACUUCAUAGGCUAUAAGCCUAAUAUUGAAGAAUAUAUUGGACCCACACCACAAUUGAUGUAACCCAAUUGUGUUGGGUACUUUGGAGGAAAUCAGCCCAUUGGGCUAAAUGCUCAAUACCCGACUAUGGAGAUAAAUGAAAUCACAAAAGAUAGAAUUGGUUGCAAAUAAUUAUCUCGUGAUAAUUAUCAUAUCCCUACUGUUUCUGUUGGACUCAAAUUUAAACUUCCCUGCUAUCUUGGAGAUUUGAUUUCCCUCGUGAUAAUAUACAAGAGUUUUAAUAUAUCCAAAAACUCAACCAAUUUGAAAUAAAUAGAGAAGCCGGCUGCCUUCUUCUUCCAAGUGUGAGAACUUUUCUUCCUUCUCUGUGAAAACCGAAGUCGACCUUUGUGGUGUGCCUUUGUGUGCCUUUUCUUCUUCGUGAAUGAAAAAGUCUCCCAAUUGAAGUUACCUUUGUGGUGUUGGGUCGAAGAUUUCUGAGCCGGAUUUAAAAGGGGGAUUUCGUUUCAUUUUCUUCCAUUACAUUUCAGUUUCUGCAUUUCAUUUAAGUUUACUGCUUCAUUUUGGUUCCUUGAAUUCCAUUACAUUUAUUUGAUUUAAUCCUUGAUUAACCUUUGUUGUGUGGUUGCAGGUUGGAUUAAAAACAACACUCUGUAUCAGAGCUUGGUGGUGGUGGAAUUCAGACCAAAAACCGGCCAGAAACUGAAGGAGAAGAAAACCCGUUCGAAAAUUUUUGAAAAAAUCGAGGCUAAAAACUCCAAUUCCGGCCAAACCACUAACCAUCCGGGAAAACUGAGGCCAGACCCAUAACCAGCAGGUGGAGGCGCUCCUGGUGGUGGUGGUGAUUUUUUUCGGCGACGGCGCGUGGUGGUCCGGCGGCGACGCGUGGAGAUUCCUGUGGCGACGCGUGGCGGCGCGUGGAGCUGAUUCCGACGAAACUGUCUUCAGGCAGUUUGUUUCUCUUGUCAUUUCUAACAUUUUUCGUGUUGGAAGUUUUCUGUUUCAGGUUACGUAGAAAAAGUUGGACGAUUUUGCCCUUGGUGGUCGCUGGUCCGAUCUGCAGUACAUUUACUGAAUUACUUUAGGCCAAGAUUGCGGUCCUAAAGCAGUAAAUUCGCAUCUCUCGUAGCUUACGGACUCAGAAAAGUCCGCUCUGGUAAAUUGGCUGAAACUUUUAAAUUAUCACAAUAGCAGAUCAUCGUGUGGGGUGAUCAUUAGGAUUGGGGGUUGUCAUUGCUUGGCAACCAUUGCUUGAUGCUAGAAUCUAGGAUUACUUGCCAAUAUUUGUUUAAUUUCUAAGUGAAAUUAUUUAUUGUGUUUAGAAUUUGUUGAACGUUGUUGCGUUUUAAAUCUCAUAUUAUUUAGACUUGUACCCGGACUCCUAUUCUAGUUUCUUCCCUUGACCUGAGAACGUGAUUCUCACGGAAUCCUGGGGUUCUAGAAAUAGAGUAUUAUUGUGAAACCAUAGGAUUUCUUGUUACUUUGUGUAAUCUGUGUAACCUGUGAUCUUUUACAUAUCGAAUUUUGUGUUCUGUGCAUUUUUGAGUAAGAUGUCGACACAUCACUUUGAGUUGGGUGUCUUUAAUGGUAAAGGAGAUUUUUCAAUUUGGCAACAGAAAAUGAAAGGCAUUCUUGUUCAACAAAAAGUUUCUAAAGCAAUUGAUGAUUCUUUUCCUGCAACUUUGACUGAUGAAGAAAAAGAAAAUUUGGAUGAAUUGGCAUAUACUUCUAUAAUUUUACACUUGUCUGAUGCGGUAUUAAGAAAAGUUGGUAAAUUAAAAUCAGCUCAAGAACUUUGGGAAAAAUUGGAGGAACUUUAUGUUUCGAAGUCCACUCCAAACAAACUUUUUUUACUUGAAAGCUUUUUUAGUUUCAAAAUUGAUUCUUCAAAAAAUUUGAAUGACAAUUUAGAUAUUUUCAAUAAACUUGUGCAAGAUAUCAAUAACUGUGGUGAAAAAGUAUCUGAAGAAUAUAAGGCUAUCAUUUUGUUAAAUGCUAUACCUGAUACUUAUAGAGAGGUUAAAAGUGCUAUUAAAUACGGGAGAGAUACUUUAACACCUGAAAUUGUCAUAGACUCGUUAAGAAGUAAAGAUAUGGAAUUGCGAGCCGAAAGAGUCGAGAGAAAAAGUGGUGAGGUUCAUAUGAUGAGAGGUAGGUCUCAGUCUAGAACUCAUGAUAACCAAAGUGGAUACGCAUUCGGUAGUAAAAAGAAGAGUAGAAGUUUAUCUAGGUCAAAAGGUAAAUCUAAAGGUAGAAAAUGCUAUGGGUGCGGUAAAACUGGACAUUUUAUUAAAGAUUGUUAUGUUGAGAAAAACAAACAAAAAGAAAAGAUUCACGAUGAGGAAAAUGUUAUUACAUAUUCUGAUGAAUUUUGUGAAGUUUAUGUGUUAUUAAACUCUAAACCUACUGAAGUAAAUUUGACUGUGAAAUCACAUUUAAAUGAAUGGAUACUUGAUUCUGGUGCAUCGUUUCAUGUUUCAUCACAUAAAACUUGGUUUGAAAACUUGCAAGAAUCUGAAAGUGGACAUGCUAUUCUGUGCAAUAAUCAUGCAUAUAAAAUUGCUGGAAUUGGUGAUAUCACGUUAAAAUUUGACACUGGUAAUGUGCUUAAAUUACAUGGAGUUAGAUAUAUUCCUGAAAUGGCUAGGAAUCUUAUUUCAGUAGGAGCAUUAGAAACUGAUGGUUUUUCUGGUAAAAUUGGAAACAACAUGCUGAAAAUGAUUAAGGGUGCUCUUGUCACAUGUAAAGGUAUUAAAAGAAAUGGUAUUUAUGUGACUGCUGCUGAAAUUAUUAAAAAUUCAUCUUCCUCUAUAAAUUUGACCAACAAAGAUGACACACACAAGUGGCACAAUAGAUUAGCUCACAUAAGUAUUAAAGGACUUAAACUGCUAAAUGAUAAAGGUGUAUUUGGAAAUGACUGUGUGUCUAAUAUGCCUUUUUGUGAUCACUGUGUUCUUGGAAAACAUCAUAAGUUGUCUUUCUCAUCUGGCAUGCACAAAACUACUAAAGUUUUGGAAUAUAUUCAUACUGAUUUAUGGGGGACUGCUACUAAUCCUAAAAUGGGUGGUAAUAGAUAUUUUAUAUUCAUAAUUGAUGAUUAUUCUUCUAGGGUAUGGGUUUAUCUGCUAAAAGAUAAAAUUGAAACCUUUAAAAUUUUCAAAAUAUGGAAAUUGCAAGUUGAAACUCAAAUUGGAAAAAAAAUAAAAUAUCUAAGAACUUAUAAUGGCUUAGAGUUCUGUAAUAAUAAUUUUGAUGAUUUGUGUGAAAAACAUGAAAUUACUAGACAUAAAACUGUUUCUUAUACACCUCAACAAAAUGGGGUGGUUGAACGUAUGAUCGUACUUUACUUGACAAAGUUAGAUGUAUGAUGUUGAAUUCUGGAAUUCUUAAAUCUUUUUGGGGUGAAGCUGUUAUCACUGCGUGUUAUCUGAUUAAUUUGACACCUUCUACUGCAUUAAAUGGUGACACUCCACAUGAAAAAUGGUAUGGUAAAUGUGCUGACUAUACUGUGUUAAAAACAUUUGGCUGUGCUGUUUUCUCUCAUCAAAACGAGGGAAAACUAGAACCUAGAGCUAGGAAAUGUGUUUUCUUAGGAUACCCUGAAGGAGUUAAAGGGGAUAGGCUUUGGGAUAGAAGUCAAACUGGAGUUAAGAUCAUCGUAAGUCGUGAUGUUACAUUUAAUGAGUCUGAAAUCUCCCAGACAAUGGUACAAACGUUUUGAUUCUUUUGUUAAAACUGUUGGUUUUAAAAGGAGUGAAUUUGAUCAUUGCUUAUACUAUCAAGGAAAUGCUAAAAAUGAUAACUGUGUGUUUUUAUUGCUAUACGUGGACGAUAUGCUUUUAAUUGGUCCCAACUUGAAAUUGUUAAAUGACAUAAAAAUGACUUUGAGUAAUGAAUUUGAUAUGAAAGACCUUGGUAAUGCUAAAAGAAUUUUAGGCAUGGAAAUCCAAAGAGAUAGGUCUAAUUCAAUUUUAUCUUUGCAUCAGACUCCAUACAUCAUGAAAAUCUUGAAGAAAUUUGACAUGAAUGAUUGCAAACUUGUUACAUUACCUUUAGCUAAUCACUUUGUAUUAUCUAAAGAACAAUCACCUGCUAAUGAAGAAGAAGAGGAAUAUAUGAAAAAUAUUCCUUAUAUGAAUGCCAUUGGUUCUGUGAUGUAUUUAAUGGUGUGUACUAGAGCUGACUUAGCAUUUGUUGUUAGUACACUUAGCAGGUAUAUGUCCAACCCUGGUCCUAAACAUUGGGAAGCCUUGAAAUGGCUGUUUAGGUAUUUGAAAAGAACAUGUAAUAUUGGCUUGAUAUAUAAGUUUAGUAACAAAGAAAUAAAAUUGAAAGGAUUUACUGAUUCUAAUUAUGCUGGUGAUAGAGAUAAUAGGAAAUCUACAUCUUUCUAUGUGUUUACUUUGUGUAAUUCUUGUGUUAGUUGGAAAUCUCAACUUCAACAUGUUGUUGCUUUAUCCACUACUAAAUCAGAAUAUAUUGCUGCUACUGAAACCUUUAAAGAAUCUUUGUGGUUUAAAGGUGUAUUAAAUGAACUUGGUGUUUUUGAUAACAAUGUGACAAUAUAUUCUGAUAGUCAAUCUGCUAUUCACCUAUGCAAAAAUCCUGUCUUUCAUGAACGUACUAAACAUAUAGAUGUUAGAUUGCAUUUCAUUAGAGAUAUGGUUUCUCAAGAACUGGUAAAACUUGAGAAAAUCCUUUCAGAAUAUAAUCCUGCAGACAUGGGAACUAAAGUGCUCCCAUUAGUAAAAUUUAGAAGCUGCCUUGAUCUUCUAAACAUUGGUACAAACUUGUAAGUUAUUUUUUCUAUAAGUUAUUUGUUAUCUUAUCUAACUUGCAGGAUGAUUUGGUAUCAAGGUGGAGAUUGUUAGGUAUUUUUUGGUAAGUGAUACCCAAAUCCCCUAGGCAAUGAUGAAAAUCGAGGCCCGUUUAACUUCAUAGGCUAUAAGCCUAAUAUUGAAGAACAUAUUGGACCCACACCACAAUUGAUGUAACCCAAUUGUGUUGGGUACUUUGGAGGAAAUCAGCCCAUUGGGCUAGAUGUUCAAUACCCGACUAUGGAGAUAAAUGAAAUCACAAAAGAUAGAAUUGGUUGCAAAUAAUUAUCUCGUGAUAAUUAUCAUAUCCCUACUGUUUCUGUUGGACUCAAAUUUAAACUUCCCUGCUAUCUUGGAGAUUUGAUUUCCCUCGUGAUAAUAUACAAGAGUUUUAAUAUAUCCAAAAACUCAACCAAUUUGAAAUAAAUAGAGAAGCCGGCUGCCUUCUUCUUCCAAGUGUGAGAACUUUUCUUCCUUCUCUGUGAAAACCGAAGUCGACCUUUGUGGUGUGCCUUUGUGUGCCUUUUCUUCUUCGUGAAUGAAAAAGUCUCCCAAUUGAAGUUACCUUUGUGGUGUUGGGUCGAAGAUUUCUGAGCCGGAUUUAAAAGGGGGAUUUCGUUUCAUUUUCUUCCAUUACAUUUCAGUUUCUGCAUUUCAUUUAAGUUUACUGCUUCAUUUUGGUUCCUUGAAUUCCAUUACAUUUAUUUGAUUUAAUCCUUGAUUAACCUUUGUUGUGUGGUUGCAGGUUGGAUUAAAAACAACACUCUGUGUAUUGAACUUUCUUUUUGAUAUAGAUUUUAUACAACUCAUAUUAAGGAAAAACCACCAAAUUAUUGCUAUAGUAUUUUUUGGUUUAAAUUUUGAGGGAUGUUCUUGAAAAAAGUAAACGUAUUUGGUUCCUGUGGAUUGUAACUUAAUUUCUCUGUGGGAUUUGAUUUCUUGAUUAAAGAUUAUAAAGUUUAGCAUGUAAAAAGUCACUGAUUUUUUUCCCCCUUGUAUAGUCCUUAGUGGCCACCAAUUGUGAACGUAUUAUGUAUAUCAUAUGAACAGAAAUUGAUGGUUUGUACAUUGGAUACAAAUCUGAUUUUGUCCUUCAGCGCUUGUGCUACUUUUUAUAAUAAGUUUUGUGAAUGAAACUUGUGUAGGUUGCUAUAUAUAGAUACAAAAAAAUGAUUUGUCUUUUAAUGGUGAUAUAUGCAACUAUGAACAAAGAUAAAAUUUUUGACAUGGAAUAUUUCAUAAUCAAUUGAUUUUAUGAUUUGAUUGAUAAAUAAUCUCAACUUGUAAUAUUUUGUAUCAAAUCCGUUAUACUUUUGGGACCAAAAUGAAAAUGUAUUUGCAGAAACCACAACCACCGUUGCUUAUAUGAUCGUAUCCCGAGUGCUACGACUCUAAUUUGGCUGGAACGCAUAAGUAACACAAGUUGACGUACAAUUAGGCAAAUUCAUAUACACUAUUCAAAAUCUUUAAAUGUUAUGGCUUAUAAAAUAUUAGAAUUCUUGAACUAUAUCCUUGGAUGAUAUGCAUUAAUUUACAAAAGAAAUGAAAAUAUGGUGUCUUUGUUGUAUUCGCAUUCGUCCUUAGUGUAGUGUGCAAAUUCGAACGUCAAUCAGUUGCUAUAGAUAUUAACAACAUCAUGUCACUUCACUCUUAUAGGUUAAAAAUGUGAUGCACGCUAUGUCGUGUGUCAAGAAAUAAUUACAAUGAUAAAAAUGAAACUUGUUCACGUGUUUAUGCAAUUGAUAUUUUACUCAACGUAAAUUUGUCUCUGAGAAAUCUAAUUCCACGAGUCAUGUGAUCAAGCAUUUAAACUUGCAAUUGUUUAUAUUAAAACAUAUUUUAAUUCACUGACUUGUCAUAAAACAUAAACAUAAUAAAAUCAAUUAUAAUGAUUUAUAUAAACUCGCAUAUUCAUGAAUAACCCUAAAAUAAGUAAGUUCACACUUGGUACGAAACUAAAAUUGUUGUUUUGCAAAAUAAUAGAACAAAUAUAUUCUAGAACAAAACUAUAAAAAGGGGAAAACAAUGUAAAACUUGGGGGUUUUGAUUAUGUAGAGUUGUCUUGGGUUGACAACAUAAUUUGACGCAGCAUCAAAAAUCUUAUCGUCUUUGGAUGAGGACCUCUAGGUUUAAGACUUUGUUGCUUGUCUAGCAUCAUCCUUAACCAUCUCUUUCUCCUUUUUUGUCUUGGAUGUUAAAUCAGCAGCUUCAAUUACUUCUCCUCCUUUCGAGAUGAAAUAUGUACCUGUAAUGAGUUUCAAUAGAUACUUCAACCACAAUAUUUUUCAUUGGAUAAUCAAGAUUUAUCACCAACCCGUUUUGAAGAAUUAUAAAGAAUAAUGCUAUUUGUAGUCAAUCACUACUACAGUCGUCUUACGUGACAUACAUGUAACGGUUAGUGAUUUAAUGCAAAGCAAUUAAAAAAACACAAUAUUAAUGUAUCAAAUCACUAACUGCCACAUGUAUGCCACGUAUGGUGAUUAUGAUAGUGAGCAAUUGCAAAUCGCAUUACUCAAUUAUAAAAUGAAGACGGCGGCUUUUCAGAUACUUGUUACACUAAAUAAGGAAUAUUUAUUUACAUAUGCUUUAAUCUCAUAAAUCGGGAUUUUUUGGGGUAUUUGAGUAAUUUAUGGGAAUAGCCGUUUUCUUGGAUAUUAAAAUGUGAGCAUUUUACUACAAGUGAUAGUCUUUUCAGAACAAAAUAUUGAGUGUAGUAAAAAUGGGAUUACAUUCUAAUUGGGAUUAGUGAGUGAAAUUUUCCGUUCUAGUUAAUGGAAAAUAAGAAAAUUGGUAAAACUUGUGCCGGGUCAUUGCUAAAACUGGUGCCCGGUCAACCGGUUUUACGGUUGGACCCUAUAAUUUUCCCCUUUUUGCGGUAUUUAAUUCUUGUGAUUUUUAGUCAUAACUGAACUAGUUUGGAGAUUGGUUCCCGGUUCCGGUUCGAUUUCGACAACAUUGGAUUUUGAGACUGAUUUAGACACUAGGAAACUGUAGCCAGAUCAAGGGAAAAGUAUGUUGGAAAAAAUGAGCAAUAGCUCAUUUUUGGCAAGAUUUUUGAUGGGAUCCGUUGGUUCAAUUUGGAAGAUCAAAAUUGAUCAGUGUUCUCCUCUGUGAGAGCAUCAAAAUCAUAUAUUUACUUGCCAAAAAUGAAGCUCAGGUGAAUGAGAAAUUGGAGUUCAAAGUUGACCAUUGGAAGAUGGUUUUAUGGGGGAAAUUAGCUUUUGUCCUACAUAGGAAAAGGAAUAAAGCAAUAACCACUUCAAAUAUGGUUGCACAUUGGAAAGGUAUAAUCAUGUGUAGUAUAGAGGUUCUCUCCACGUGAGCACGCAAGUGGGUGCAAAUCUCAGACCGAAAUAAUCUUCGGACCUUUAACUUGUGUGCGGGCACGACCUGCGUACACGAAUGUCGGACCGAACGAAGCAAAAAUUGGCCCCUUCGAAGAGCCCACGUUUUGCAUCAUUUUUUCUUGCUUUCUCAACCUGACUUUUGAGUUUUUGAUACUUCCAAAACUCCCAGAAAUUGAAGUGACUCAAAUCUUAAUUGUCAUAGAUUUAAUGGCAAAUUUAUGCUAUAUUAAAUCUCAAAUUUUCAGCAAUUUAUACAGAUGAAAAAGAAAAACUUUUUCUUCCUCACUGUUCAGAAAAAACGUCCCCUGCAAUUUCUGUCUGUGUCUUUGUCCAGUAAGAUUUUGAUUUGUUGCAUACGCAUAUCUGUCCAGUAAGGUCAUUGUGAUAUUGUUCAGACAUAUAUUUGUUUGUCGGAGUAGUUUCUGUGGUACUCAAAUUCUACAGGCUUUGCCAUUGUAUCCUGAAAAACAGACGUUCGGAUUAAAUCUCAAGUACUUACGGUGGGGGGCCGAAUCUGUUUUAAGGAAACUGUGUUCGCACAGGCCUCGGGUUGAAAAUUUAUCUGCUAUUUAUUUAGUUUGCAUUUUACUCUUGCAAAUUUAUUUAUUUAGCAAUUUACACGUUUGCAACAUACUUGACUCAUAUAUUGUUUGUUAAAUUUAUGUCAGAAAUAGAUAAAUAAAAUAAACUAUUUUUUUUUCAAUUCGUUAUGUGUGUGAAAAUAGAUUUCACAUAUACGGUAUUUCUAUUUGUAAAUGAAAAAAUUUGUGUUAUUUUAGUUAGUGUAUGAAUAAAAACACUUUAUACAAAUUCUGUGCAAAUACGGUGAGUUUCGCUGCCAAAUACGGUGAGCUUUCUGCAAAUACGGUAGAUAACAUAUACAGUAAGGUACAAACACGGUAGACUGCAAAUACAGUAAGUUAUCUGCAAAUACGGUAAGUGUCAUAUAUGGUAUAUGUAUAUACGGUAUGUUUAAAAUUAGUGUUUAAACUACACAUACGGCAUGUAAUAAUUCAGUUUCAUUAACACCACUAUAUUCCAACAAACUUAAAAUAGACUAGUAAAGGAAAAUAUUGGUUUCUUAUGGUGUUAAUUUUAGAAACUAUUUUUUUUUUGACUUUCAGAAAUGGCAACCGAAUCGACCAACAUGGAUGUGACGCAAACUGUGCGUACUGAAAAUUAGGCUAUAGGCUCAGCUGUGACUCAAGGGCCAAGCUUUGCUCUGGCUUAGACUGUGACUGAAUUGCCAAGUCAUGUUGUGAGUCAAACUGUGGCUCCAACAACUGGCCAUACCGUUAGUGCUCCGGUUAAUCAUGAAAAAAAAUCGGAGAAAUUCAAUGGCUUGAAUUUCAAAAGAUGCAAAAGAAAAUGUCAUUUUAUCUGACCACUUUGAAUCUUGAGAAAUUCUUGAUUGAGAUUGCUCCAAAACUCAAUGAGCGUGAGGGAGAUGUUCAAGCCAUCAGUGCACUUGAUGCUUGGAACUAUUCAGAUUUUUUGUGUCAAAAAUAUAUUUUGAACAGCUUAGCAGACACGCUAUAUAAUGUGUAUAGUACUAUAAAAACUGCUAAGGAAUUGUAGGAGUCUUUGGACCAAAAAUAUAAAAUUGAGGAUGCCGGGAUAAAAAGUUCAUUGUCGGCAGAUUCUUAGAUUACAAAAUGGUGGACUCCAAAAUAGUUAUCAAUCAAGUACAAGAACUCCAAGUGAUUCUUCAUGAAAUUCAUGCCGAAUGAAUGAUUUUGAGUGAAAUUUUUCAAGUGGCUGCAAUUAUUGAAAAUUUGCCCCCCGUAUGGAAAGAUUUCAAAAAUUAUUUGAAGCACAAGCGAAAGGAAAUGACGUCGAAGAACUAAUUGUUAGACUUCGAAUUGAAAAAGACAACAAGAGCUCUGAAAAGAAAUUGUUUAAUCUUGGUAUGGCUAAAGCCAAUGCCGUGGAGCUUGAUCAAAGUAGUAAGAACUACAAAAACAAGUUUAGAUCAUCCAGUGGCGAAAGGACCAAGCAAGGACUGAAAGGUGGAAUUUCUAAGAAGAAAUUUUAAGGAAAAUGUUUCAAUUGUGACAAAGUGGGCCACAAGUUUUCGGAGUGCAGAUUGCCAAAGAAAAAGAAAGAAGCAAAUGUGGUUGACUACAUGGCACAAAAUGUGUCGGAGCUGAAUCUCUUAGCUGUCAUUUCUGAAGUGAACAUGGUGGGUUCAAACCCUAAAGAAUGAUGGAUUGACACCGGUGCUACGAGGCAUGUGUGCUUUGAUAAAGAGCUGUUUACUACGUUCGAAGCAAUUGAGAAUGGGGAGAAGUUGUUUAUGGGAAAUUUAGCAAUUUCUAAAAUCAAAGUUCAAGGAAAGGUGGUUCUGAAAAUGACCUCGGGAAAGGACCUGAGUCUUAACAAUGUGCUAUACGUGCCAAAAAAUUGCAAGAACCUAGUAUUCGGGUCGCUUUUGAAUAAGCAUGACUUUCGCAUAGUAUUUGAGUCAGACAAAGUUAUUUUGUAAAAAAGUGAAAUGUUUGUCGAAAAAUGUUAUGUUUCCGAUGGUAUGUUUAAACUCAAUGUAAUGGUUGUUAAACAAAAAAUUAAUAAAGCAAACUCUUCUACUUAUUUGCUUGAGUCUUCCAAUUUGUGGCAUGGUAGACUAGGACAUGUUAACUAUGAUACUUUAUGAAGGAGGAAAUCCCCCCAAUGGUCACCGAACUUUGCCAAAAUCUCCUAAGAGGUCACUGAACUUAACUUCGUCCCUAAAUGGUCACCGAACUUUACAAAAGGCCCCUGGGAGGUCACUGAACUUGUUAUGCAUGGGGUCCCAUUUUGCAAAAGUUGAGUGACCUCUUGGGGAACUUCAGCAAAGUUCGGUGACUAUUUAGGGACGAAGUGAAGUUCAGUGACCUCCUAGGGGAUUUUGACAAAGUUCAGUAACCAUUUAGGGACAAAGUGAAGUUCGGUGACCUCCUAGGGAAAAUUGACAAAGUUCGGUGACCGUUGGGAGGAUUUCCUCCUUUACGAAGACUAGUUAACUUGAAUUGCAUACUCGAGUUUCACAUUGAUUCAAAAUAUAAGUGUGAAACUUGUGUUGAGAUAAAAUUGACAAGGUAAUCGUUUAAAUCAAUUGAACGGAACGCAGAACCAUUUGAUUUAAUUUACAGUAACGUAGAUGACUUAAAACUUGUACAGACAAGAGGUGGCAACAAGUAUUUCAUUACUUUUGUCGACGAUAGCACCAAAUACUGUUAUGUAUAUUUGCUAAAAAAUAAAGAUGAAGCUAUUUCUCUAUUAGAGUGAAGUUGAAACUCAACUUAAUAAGAAAAUUAAAGUGUUAAGAAGCGAUCGAGGUGGUGAGUAUGAAGCACCAUUUGCGAAAUUCUGUGCACAACACGGAAUCAUAAAUGAAAUCACCGCACCUUAUUCACUGAAACAAAAUGGUGUUGUUGAACAGAAAAAUCGUACUUUAAAGGAAAUAAUGAAUACAAUGUUAGUAAGUUCUGGGUUAUCUCAGAACAUGUGGGAGGAAGUUGUGUUAUCAACAAAUUACCUUUUAAAUAAGGUGCCCCAAAAGAAAAUGGAAAAGACCCCUUAUAAUUAUGGAAAGGAAGAAAGUCUCCUAUAAAUACUUACGAGUAUAGGGGUGUCUUGCUAAAGUGGUCGUUCCAACACCAAAGAAGGUAAGGACAGGGCCAAAAACUGUAGAUUGCAUCUUCAUUGGUUAUGCACACAACAGUAGUGUUUAUUGGUUUCUUGUGUAUGAUUCUAAAAUCCCUGACAUACACAAAAACACGAUAUUAGAAUCAAGAAAUGUUUCAUUCUUUGAACAUGUAUUUCCUUACAAGUCCAAAGAGGAAGUAAGAUCCUCCAAACGAACAUAUGAGACUAUGACUGAAAAUAGUCAUGCUGAAGAACUAGAAGAGGAGACUGAGGUUAGACGUAGCAAACAAGAAAGGACAGAAAAAUCAUAUGAUCCUGAUUUUUUGACCUAUAUGCUAGAAAGUGAACUUUAAAGUUAUCAAGAGGCUGUGAAUUACUCGGAAGGACCUCAAUGGAAAGAGGCCAUUAAAAGUAAGGUAGAAUUUAUACUGCAAAAUCAUACAUGGGAGUUAGUGGAUCUUCCUCCAAGAAGCAAAUCACUAGGCUAUAAAUGGAUUUUCAAAAGGAAAAUGAGAGCAGAUGGAACUAUCGAAAAUUAUAAAGCUAGAUUAGUAAUAAAAUGUUACAAACAAAGGGAAGGCCUUGAUUACUUUGAUACGUAUUCUCCAGUAACGAGAAUAACAUCUAUUAGGUUGAUACUUGCGAUUGUCGCUUUACGAAAUCUUGAAGUACAUCAAAUGGAUUUUAAAAUUGGCUUUCUAAAUGGAGAUUUAGAAUACGAAAUUUAUAUGAAACAACCCGAGGGGUUUUCGUCAUCAGAGAGCAGAAAAAGAAAGUUUGUAAAUUGGUGAAGUCACUAUAUGUCUUGAAACAAGCACCCAAACAAUGACAUGAAAAAUUUGAUAAUAUCAUGAUAGAGAGGAUUUAAAAUCAAUGAGUGUGACAAAUGUGUUUAUGUCAAAGACACUAAAGAUGGUUAUGUCAUUAUGUCUUUACGUUGACGACAUGCUUAUUGUCAGUAGUGACAAUAAGAUGAUUGAAUCCAUUAAAAAUAUGUUGAAUUCGAGAUUUGACAUGAAAUAUAUGGGUUUAGCUGAUAUUAUUCUUGGAGUCAAAAUCUCAAGAAUAUCAGAUGGGCUUGUUCUAAGUUAGUCACAUUAUGUAGACAAAAUUUUGGAAAAAUUUAAUAAGGAUGAUACUGGCUUAGCUAGAACACUGACAGAUAUGAGUCAACAUCUUUCUAAAAAUAAAGGUGAAAGUGUCUCUCAAACAGAAUACUCGAGAGUCAUUGGAAGUCUAAUGUACUUGAUGAGUUGUACAAGACAAGAUAUAGCCUACACAGUUAGUAAAAUGAGUAGAUACACGAGUAAUCCAAGAGUUGAUCACUGGAAAGGAAUAGUAAGAGUACUAAGGUACUUAAGAUAUACUCGUGAAUAUGGACUACAUUAUACCAAAUAUCCAGCGGCCAUUGAAGGAUACAGUGAUGCUAAUUAGAUAUCUGAUAUAAAAGACUCAAAGUCCACCAGUAGAUUUGUGUUCACAUUGGGAGGUGCUGCCAUAUCGUGAAAAUCCUCUAAACAAAUAGUUAUAGCCAAAUUUACGAUAGAAUCUGAGUUUAUAGCUCUAAAUAAAUGUGGUGAAGAGGUCGAAUGGUUGCGCAACUUCUUAGAGGAUAUUCUAAGAUGUUCAAAAUCUAUGCCAGCAAUUUGCAUAUAUUGUGACAGUCAAUCAGCAAUAGGAAAGGCACAGAGUAACAUGUGCAAUGGUAGGUCUAGACAUAUACGUCGUAGACAUAAUACCGUAACACAACUACUCUCAACUGGAGUUAUUACUAUUGACUACAUAAGGUCAAAAGAUAACAUUGCAGAUCCGCUAACCAAAGGAUUAAAUAGAGAAUUAGUUGGGGAGUCAUCGAAAGGAAUGUGACUUAAGCCCUUGAAUGAAUAACUUAUUACAAAGAAAAUCCAACCUAGUUGACUGGAGAUCCCAAGAUCUAGGUUCAAAGGGACAACCUAAUUGUAAAGGCUUAAUCAAAUAACUGUGGGGGUGUUUCCUCCUGUUCAUUCCUAUAAUGUAACAGUGAUGCCCGUAAGGAUAAAGGAUAAGCAAUAGGCUUUUAAUGAUUCUUAUAUGUUAAAGUUCGAGUCAAGUAAUGCAUAUUACUUGUAAUAAGAAAUCACCUAUGUGAGAGAGAAGUGGGUCGCUUCUAAGAGAAUUGUGUGGGGCUCAAUUCUUAAGAACUCUCAUAGAACCACGCAUAUGUUCAUGGCCAAAACGAACAUAAUAAUGAGAACUGAAUUGUGUUAGGAAGAAUCAUGUGUGGAGUAUAUCAUCGUUUACAUAAAUGGUAGAAGAGUUCAAGGACAACAUGUCUACUGGUUAGCUAGUAAAGUAAAUAUGUUUUUACAAGGGAAGGUUCAAAGGGUGAUACCUACCUAUCUUAUGCAAGCUUCAACCGUUGAACUUUAUGACCUAGUCUUGUAUCUCACGGUCACCAAGUCUCGUGUCUCACGGUCUCAUGUCUAUCCUAAUUUUCAUUCAUGUGGGGGAUUGUUGGAAAAAAUGAGCAAUAGCUCACUUUUGAAAAGAUUUUCGAUGGGGCCCAUUGGUCCAAUUUGGAAGAUUAAAGUUGAUUCAUGUUCUUCUCUGUGAAAACAUCAAAAUCAUAUAUUUACUUACGAAAAAAGAAGCUCAUGUGAAUGAGAAAUUGGAGCUCAAAUUUGGCCAUUGGAAGAUGGUUUUAUGUGGAAAAAUAUCUUUUGUCCGACAUAGGAAAAGGAAGAAAGCAAGAACCACUUUAAAUAUGGCUGCACAUUAGAAGGGCGUAAUCAUGUGUAGUAUAGAGGCUCUCUCCACGUGCGCGAGUAAGGGGGUGCAAAUCUCGGACCGAAAUAGCCUUCGGACCUUGAAUUUGUGUGCGGGCGUGACCUGCGUACACGAAUGUCGGAUCGAACGAAGUAAAAAUUGGCCUCUUUAGAGCCCCCGCGUUUUGCAUCUUUUUUUCUUGCUUUCUCAGCCUAACUUUUGAGUUUUUGAAACUUCCAAAACUCCCAGAAAUUGAAGUGACUCCAAUGUUAAUUGCCAAUGGCAGAUUUAUGCUAUAUUAAAUCUCAAGUUUUCAACAAUUUACACAGAUGAAAAAGAAAAACCUUUUCUUCCUCACUGUUCAGAAAAAACGUCCCCUGAAUUUCUAUCUGUGUCUUUGUCCAAUAAGUCUUGAUUUGUUGCAUACACAUAUCUGUCUAGUAAGGUCGUUGUGAUAUUAUUUAGACAUUGUAUUAGUUCGUCGGAGUAGUUUUUGUGGUGCUCAGAUUCUACGGGUUUUGCCGUUGUAUUUUGGGAAGCAGACGCUCAGAUUAAAUCUCAAGCACUUACGGUGAGGGGACGAAAUAAACUUUUUUUUUUCAAUUUAUGUUAGAAAUAGAUAAAUAAAAUAAACUGUUUUUUUUUUCAAUUCGUCAUAUGUUUGAAAAUAGAUUUCACUUAUAUGGUAUUUCUAUUUGUAAAUGAAAAAAUUUGUGUUAUUUUAGUUAGUGUAUGAAUAAAAGCACUUUUUGCAAAUUUUGUGCAAAUACGGUGAAUUUCGAUACCAAAUACAGUGAACUUCCAUAUACGGUGAGUUUUUUACAAAUACGGUAGGCAGCAUAUACGGUAAGGUGGAAAUGCGGUAAGUUGCCUGCAAAUACGGUAAUCUGCAUAUACGAUAAGCUACCUGCAGAUACGGUAAGUGUCAUAUACGAUAUGCUUAAAAUUGGUGUUUAAACUACACAUACGACAUGUGAUAAUUCGGUUUCAUUAACACCACUAUAUUCCAACAAACUAAAAGUUUAGUCGAAAGAGAUUUAUGAUUUGUUGUUAUUAAAUAAUUAAUUAUUUUAUUUAAGAAUUUAAUUGAAAAUGAAUUUACUUAUUUAUGCCUAAUUUAGCACUUGUUUUCACGUGUAGGUCGAAUUUAUUUGCUAACUAUAAACGUCUUAUAAUUGUGUUAAAAUAAAUGCAUAAUGAGAGUUUUCAACUAAAAAAAUUUGUCCUAAUUAAAAGUCAUUGUCUGAACAUAAGUUAUUGGAUAAUUGAUCCAUUUUUAUUGAUGAGAUAUUAGAAUAUUACUCUUUUUAUUACUAGGGUGAAUAAGUGUAUAGUUACAAGAAUUACGAAUUUUUUUAGAUUUUUUUAUGUUAUCACUGGAGGUAAAAAAAUAAUAAUAAUAAUAAAAUAAAAUAAAUCUAUUUCUUAAGUGUGUAUUUAUUUUCGUUUUUAAUAAAGUAUUUAUUUUUCCUGUAAAAAUACUACCAUUAAAUUUAUGGGAGGUAUGCCUUUUCAUUUGACGCACAACAAUAAGAAUAUAUAUCUACUUCCGAUCCCGGAUACAACUAAGAAUUUUGCAAGAAAUUAAGAAGACAAUUCUUAUUUCAAAAAUGAUAAAGUCCUUUUACACACACACACAUAUACAGAGAGAGAGAGAGAGAUGACCCUUAUAAGCAACAGUAACUCCAGUAGUAAUCACUAGUUAAAAUUUCUCACAUACUGAUACAUAAUAGUUUGCUUAAGGUUAUACGCAGAUAUAUCACCCAUUCUCCCAAAUCGAGGUACAAACUUGCUCGGCUGUGAGUUCUGCAGUGAAUAAACAACGGAUAAGUAACUAACAGGGUUUGAUGUCAUGUUAUGGGAAAUAGGGUUAUAGAUUUUACCACGUCAUUGCUGAAAAGCUAAGGAAAUGGAAGUGAAGGUGGAAGAUUCUGCAACAACCACCUGGAUUUUCU
Molecule: long non-coding RNA, 41032 nt
Filed under: Olea europaea (common olive)
Lineage: Eukaryota; Viridiplantae; Streptophyta; Magnoliopsida; Lamiales; Oleaceae
Description: long non-coding RNA (OEUR_LNC006676)
Source: RNAcentral